Macaca fascicularis (crab-eating macaque) is the source of this 2371-nucleotide long non-coding RNA. Lineage: Eukaryota; Metazoa; Chordata; Mammalia; Primates; Cercopithecidae. The record is from Ensembl.
AUAGUGUCUUUAACAUAGUCUCAUAUUUGGAAAAGCAGUUUAAAAAAAAACAAUUGAAAAUACAAGAUAAGGUAAGGGUUACUUACAUAAGUUUUAACCUUAUAUUGCUUGGCCAUUUUUACAUAUAAAUUAUUGCUUACUAGCUUCGAUAAAUACACAGCACAGUCAUAUAUAUAUAUAACAUAUAUACACAGAGGCAGAAAGCAUGGAAUAUGGGAAAGAAAACACUGUUAAUGGCAAUUCUGGUAACUCAACAAAUGUUUCAUAUUUACCAGUUCUUUAAAUGGUGGAAAACUACCAAGUGUAGUCCCUGAGAAGUUAGGUAGACACCCUGAUGGCGGGUUCUCUAUCUUCUAAUUGUUAAUGCAAGCUGACAAUAUCACAGCAGCCCUAAUUAAUGAUACAUUAAAAGGCAAGAUUUCUUGCUUCAGGUCACUGAUUUCAUCCCAGUAUUUAAUAACAGUGUAAUACGAAUACAAUAAAUAGACUAUGCAAAUAAAUAUUACUCUGCUAAAAAAUGUUUAGUAUAUACAGCUUUGCUUUAUACAGUAAUACAUUUUCAUCUAACUUUUUGGCAAUUUUUAAAAACAUCCCCCCCCCAACCAGUUUUAAGCAAAACUGGCCCACUCGCUAAGAAGCAGGCUGAAAUUUUAAGGACAUGUUUUUGAAACAUUUAAAAGAAAUCUUGUGUUGGACCACUGCAGAAGACCUGAUCAUCCCCAUUUUAAUGUUUUUGCCCAGUUUCUGAGAAGUCUGGAUUGGCUGUGCCAUUUAGGAACAUUCAGUUCCGGAUCUGCGGUGUCUGUGCUGGCCAGAACAGACUUGCAGGGCUGGGAUAUGGGUAGCAAUGAAAGCCCAGCUCCAGGGAUAAGAAGUCAUCACUGGUACCCUCUCUUUCAUGCCACGAUUUCUCCUCCACUCAGAGGCGAGUAUAUAUUCAUGCAGCAUCCCCUCCCUGUGGACUAGGCAGUGUGAGCACUGACCUCAUCCACAUGCUUCUAAAUUUGGUGUAUGCUCCACACUACCUGUUUGUGGUUCUUGCUCUAGGGAAAUGAAUUUAUUCUAAACAUAAUUAAGGAAACUAGAAAAAGUGAAUGCAGGUCACGUGUAUCACUACAAUCAUUUGGCAGUUAUACAGAUGACAAAGAGCAAAUUCAAAACACCACACUGAAGGGAACACCUGCAAAUGCGUAUAUAAAAAAAUUUUUUUUAAUGGCAAGGUUGUGAUUUUGCCUACGGAGUCCUGCAUUGUGCCGUCUUGUGCUAACUUCUAAGCAGGGCUAGUUUGCUGGAAUGCUGACAAAUCCAAAGACCCAGAGGACUGUCUGGGAGUUGUGCUGUAACAAAAAGAUCCCACUUAGAAGUGCCCCUGCACCACCUGGUGCCGAAGGUGGCAGAUAUAGAUUUGCAGAGUGAGCGAAGAUUUUAUGCAAUAAUAAAACUCCAAAUGAGAGCUGGCAAAGAGCUUAGCCAUCUUCUAGACCACACUUCUGGCCAGAACAAAACCUAUUCUGAAGAGGCCUGGGUGAAUAUCCAGAGAGGGAGCGUGGCCCAUCCUAUUAACAAGGAGCGCUCAAGCCCUACCACUGUCCACCAGUGAACAACUCAGAUUCCUUAGAAAAAGCUUUCUGUUGAGUAAAAUCUGGUUCUCACAAUUUGGGCUUGAAUUCUUUAAUUCCAGAUCUAAGAUUCUGCAAAGCUUUGAGCUGUUGCCUGGCAAACCUCUAGAGACAGUUGUUAAACUUCAGAAAGAUGUAGAGAUUUUAGACAUUCAGAAGACAAGGAUGGAAAAGCAAAUCUCAACUGCACAAAAUCCUCCCUUCCCUCUGCUACCCCUAGGACCACUUAACCAUGGCUGGAGGAAAAGGCGAACAAGCAUCAUUUUCUCCCCAGCCAGUUUCCACCCACGUCAUGUGAGAUACUCUGAAGUCACUGUACAAAAUGCAUUUAAACACAACAUUUGUGUAGCUUCAUCUGGCUCGGUGUGCAUAUCUAACUUGGGGUCUAAGCAGCCCGCAAAAUGCUGAAAUAGUUCUCCAUGGAAAAUUAGUCCCCUAAAGGUAAUGUUCUACUAGGAGCAAUGUGGUUCUAAUGUAAAUAAAAAUCUGAACUGUGAAACACAGAAACAAUGUCAGGAUGGCCUUAUAUGAUUACACUGGCCAAACCUUAGUCCAGGGCAUAGGAAAAAGGUGAGAACACGUGCUUGUGCUGUAAGCCCAUGCUAUCGUUAGUAACUGCGUGAGGAGGGCUUUGGAGGGUUUGCUCAGCCCAGCUGUGAGGGAAGUCUGCUGUCCGGUUCUCAUGGCUCUGGUGUCCUCCCGUGGGCCACAUUCCAUGACCAGCAGCAUGCAGCAUUUCUCUGAAGGGACCA